This 634-nucleotide ribosomal RNA is filed under the name Fusarium sp. Its description in RNAcentral is "partial 28S ribosomal RNA". It matches the Rfam family "Eukaryotic large subunit ribosomal RNA", at positions 1 to 645 of the family's 3401-position model. Lineage: Eukaryota; Fungi; Ascomycota; Sordariomycetes; Hypocreales; Nectriaceae. The record is from RNAcentral.
AACUUCUGAAUGUUGACCUCGGAUCAGGUAGGAAUACCCGCUGAACUUAAGCAUAUCAAUAAGCGGAGGAAAAGAAACCAACAGGGAUUGCCCUAGUAACGGCGAGUGAAGCGGCAACAGCUCAAAUUUGAAAUCUGGCUCUCGGGCCCGAGUUGUAAUUUGUAGAGGAUGCUUUUGAUGCGGUGCCUUCCGAGUUCCCUGGAACGGGACGCCAUAGAGGGUGAGAGCCCCGUCUGGUUGGAUGCCAAAUCUCUGUAAAGCUCCUUCGACGAGUCGAGUAGUUUGGGAAUGCUGCUCUAAAUGGGAGGUAUAUGUCUUCUAAAGCUAAAUACCGGCCAGAGACCGAUAGCGCACAAGUAGAGUGAUCGAAAGAUGAAAAGCACUUUGAAAAGAGAGUUAAAAAGUACGUGAAAUUGUUGAAAGGGAAGCGUUUAUGACCAGACUUGGGCUUGGUUAAUCAUCUGGGGUUCUCCCCAGUGCACUUUUCCAGUCCAGGCCAGCAUCAGUUUUCGCCGGGGGAUAAAGGCUUCGGGAAUGUGGCUCUCUCCGGGGAGUGUUAUAGCCCGUUGCGUAAUACCCUGGCGGGGACUGAGGUUCGCGCAUCUGCAAGGAUGCUGGCGUAAUGGUCAUCAAC